RNAcentral lists this non-coding RNA (26 nucleotides) under Homo sapiens (human). The record is from RNAcentral. Lineage: Eukaryota; Metazoa; Chordata; Mammalia; Primates; Hominidae.
UUCCAGGAUUCCUAGUGAAGCAUGGA